Molecule: unclassified non-coding RNA, 336 nt
Filed under: soil metagenome
Description: partial contains 5.8S ribosomal RNA, internal transcribed spacer 2, and large subunit ribosomal RNA
Rfam family: 5.8S ribosomal RNA (bases 1-120)
Source: RNAcentral
GAUGAAGAACGUAGCGAAAUGCGAUAAGUAAUGUGAAUUGCAGAAUUCAGUGACUCAUCGAAUCUUUGAACGCACAUUGCGCCCGCCAGUAUUCUGGCGGGCAUGCCUGUUCGAGCGUCAUUUCAACCAUCAAGCCCCCGGCGUGUGUUGGGGACCUGCGGCUGCCGCAGGCCCUGAAAAGCAGUGGCGGGCUCGCUGUCACACCGAGCGUAGUAGCAUACAUCUCGCUCUGGGCGUGCUGCGGGUUCCGGCCGUUAAACCGCCUUCAUAACCCAAGGUUGACCUCGGAUCAGGUAGGAAGACCCGCUGAACUUAAGCAUAUCAAUAAGCGGAGGA